CACUCCUGCGGGAGGCAGCAGUGGGGAAUUUUGGACAAUGGGCGAAAGCCUGAUCCAGCAAUGCCGCGUGAGUGAAGAAGGCCUUCGGGUUGUAAAGCUCUUUUGUCAGGGAAGAAACGGUGAAAGCUAAUAUCUUUUGCUAAUGACGGUACCUGAAGAAUAAGCACCGGCUAACUACGUGCCAGCAGCCGCGGUAAUACGUAGGGUGCAAGCGUUAAUCGGAAUUACUGGGCGUAAAGCGUGCGCAGGCGGUUUUGUAAGUCUGAUGUGAAAUCCCCGGGCUCAACCUGGGAAUUGCAUUGGAGACUGCAAGGCUAGAAUCUGGCAGAGGGGGGUUGAAUUCCACGUGUAGCAGUGAAAUGCGUAGAUAUGUGGAGGAACACCGAUGGCGAAGGCAGCCCCCUGGGUCAAGAUUGACGCUCAUGCACGAAAGCGUGGGGAGCAAACAGGAUUAGAUACCCGUGUAGUCCC
RNAcentral lists this ribosomal RNA (471 nucleotides) under uncultured organism. Its description in RNAcentral is "partial 16S ribosomal RNA". It matches the Rfam family "Bacterial small subunit ribosomal RNA", at positions 334 to 797 of the family's 1533-position model. The record is from RNAcentral.